CGAAGAAGGGGGAGGCACCCCCCGCGAGGCGGGGACUGAGAGCCAGCCCCUCUUCCCCCACUGGCUCUUGGGAACCCCAUCGCAGUGGGGGAGGCACCACCCGCGAGGUGGGGACUGAGAGCCAGCCUCUCUUCCAGCCCUGGCUAGGACCCCCAUCACGGAUCCGAAGAUCCUUAGGACCCACCUGGAGGACUGUGGGUACUAGGUGUCCAGGAAGAAAGCUCAGAUCUGCCGACGGCAGGUACCUUACUUGGGAUUCACUGUCCGACAGGGGUCCGAACGCAGCCCGGGAUCACAAAGAAAGCAUGUCCUUUGCAAUCUCCGGGAGCCUAAGGGCAGAAGGCAGGACCGUGGGAACAAUAUCCCAGGGGGGUUUCCCCCUUCUGCCAUAUAUGUAGUCACAUCACCCACUCCGCUUUGGAAUAUUAUUAAGGACCAUCUAACAAGAGGGUGUAUACGUCCUGCGAUAUUGGGAGUAAUAUCAACUUCUCGGCCUCUGAAUAUGAGGAAGAAUAUCACAGGAUGGGUGUACGCCUCGUGCUCUAUUAUGCGGAGUCAUAUCUCUCUAUUAUGGGGAGUAAUAUCAUUCUCUCCCUUUCAGGAUGUUAAUAACAAUUUCACAGGCUGGGUGAACAGAGCCGGCGAUGCUGAAAUUAUUAUCAUCCUCUCCCCCUCUUCCCCUCCCGGCUCUUAGGACCCCCAUCGCAGGGGGCGGAGGCACCCCCUGCGAGGCAGGGACUGAGAGCCAACCCCUCUUCAACCCCUGGCUCUUAGGACACCCGUCGCAAGGGGGGGGCACCCCCCGCGAGGCGGGGACUGAGAGCCAGCCCCUCUUCCCCCCUGGCCCUUGGGACCCCCAUCGCAGGGGGGGGAGGCACCCCCCUCGAAGAGGGGACUGAGAGCCACCCCAAUUCCCCCCUGGCUCUUGGGAACCCCAUCGCAGUGGGGUGAGGCACCCCCCGCGAGACGGGGACUGAGAGCCAGCCCCUCUUCCCCCCCCAGGCACUUGGGACCCCCAUCGCAGGGGGGUGAGGCACCCUCUGCGAGGCGGGGACUGAGAGCCAACCCUCUUUCCCCCUGGCUCUUAGGACCCCCAUCACAGUGGGGGGAGGCACCCCCCGCGAGGCGGGGACUGAGUGCCAGCCCCUCUUCCCUAGCCUCUUCUUCAGGGCUGAGAGAAUUUUGAGCGCUAGCCGUCUCUCGAUCGCUGGCUAAUAAAGAACUCCUGAAUUAGU
Long non-coding RNA from Gorilla gorilla gorilla (western lowland gorilla), 1235 nucleotides. RefSeq lists it as uncharacterized. The record is from RefSeq and is a predicted model, not a curated record. The transcript has 2 exons. Lineage: Eukaryota; Metazoa; Chordata; Mammalia; Primates; Hominidae.